Molecule: ribosomal RNA, 398 nt
Filed under: uncultured bacterium
Lineage: Bacteria
Description: partial 16S ribosomal RNA
Rfam family: Bacterial small subunit ribosomal RNA
Source: RNAcentral
AUACGUAGGGUGCGAGCGUUGUCCGGAAUUACUGGGCGUAAAGAGCUCGUAGGUGGUUUGUCGCGUCGUCUGUGAAAUUCCGGGGCUUAACUCCGGGCGUGCAGGCGAUACGGGCAUAACUUGAGUACUGUAGGGGAGACUGGAAUUCCUGGUGUAGCGGUGAAAUGCGCAGAUAUCAGGAGGAACACCGGUGGCGAAGGCGGGUCUCUGGGCAGUAACUGACGCUGAGGAGCAAAAGCAGGGGUAGCGAACAGGAUUAGAUACCCUGGUAGUCCAUGCCGUAAACGGUGGGCGCUAGGUGUAGGGGUCUUCCACGACUUCUGUGCCGUAGCUAACGCAUUAAGCGCCCCGCCUGGGGAGUACGGCCGCAAGGCUAAAACUCAAAGGAAUUGACGGGG